This 27-nucleotide non-coding RNA is filed under the name Mus musculus (house mouse). The record is from RNAcentral. Lineage: Eukaryota; Metazoa; Chordata; Mammalia; Rodentia; Muridae.
UGAUAUCAAGGGUCAAGCCCUCCCUGC